CCUANGGGGGGCAUCAGGCGCGAAAACUUUACAAUGCGGGAAACCGUGAUAAGGGAACUCUGAGUGCCCGUUAAAUCGGGCUGUCCAUCAGUUUAAAAAACUGGUGAAGAAAGGGCCGGGCAAGACCGGUGCCAGCCGCCGCGGUAAUACCGGCGGCUCGAGUGGUGGCCACUAUUACUGGGCUUAAAGCGUUCGUAGCUGGUUUGUUAAGUCUCUGGGGAAAUCUUCCGGCUUAACCGGAAGGCGUCUCAGGGAUACUGGCAGACUAGGGACCGGAAGAGGUGAGGGGUACUCCAGGGGUAGGAGUGAAAUCCUGUAAUCCUUGGGGGACCACCUGUGGCGAAGGCGCCUCACCAGGACGGCUCCGACAGUGAGGGACGAAAGCUGGGGGAGCAAACCGGAUUAGAUACCCCANUANUC
RNAcentral lists this ribosomal RNA (420 nucleotides) under uncultured bacterium. Its description in RNAcentral is "bacterial SSU rRNA". It matches the Rfam family "Archaeal small subunit ribosomal RNA", at positions 322 to 746 of the family's 1478-position model. The record is from RNAcentral.